This 768-nucleotide ribosomal RNA is filed under the name bacterium C02. RNAcentral's name for it is "bacterial SSU rRNA". It matches the Rfam family "Bacterial small subunit ribosomal RNA", at positions 10 to 796 of the family's 1533-position model. The record is from RNAcentral.
AGUUUGAUCCUGGAUCAGGACGUACGCUGGAGGCGUGCUUAACAAUGCAAGUCCAACNGAAAGGCCCAGCUUGCUGGGUACUCGAGUGGCGAACGGGUGAGUAACACGUGGGUGAUCUGCCCCUGACUUUGGGAUAAGCCUGGGAAACUGGGUCUAAUACCGAAUAUUCAUUUUUCCUCGCAUGGGGAUUUGUGGAAAGCUUUUGCAGUUGGGGAUGGGCCCGCGACCUAUCAGCUUGUUGGUGGGUAAUGGCCUACCAAGGCGAUGACGGGUAGCCGACCUGAGAGGGUGAUCGGCCACACUGGUACUGAGACACGGACCCAGACUCCUACGGAGGCAGAAGUGGGAAUAUUGCACAAUGGGCGCAAGCAUGAUGCAGCGACGCCGCGUGAGGGAUGACGGCCUUCCAGGUUGUAAACCUCUUUCAUGUAAGACGAAGCGCAAGUGACAGUACGAGCAGAAGAAGCACCGGGCAACUACGUGCCACAGGCCGCGGUAAUACGUAGGGUGCAAGCGUUCUCCGGAAUUACUCGGGUAAAGAGCUCGUAGGCUUUGUCCGUCUCUGUGAAAUUCUGCAGCUUAACUGCAGGAUGCAGCAUACGGACAGACUUGAGUACUACAGGGGUAAACUGGAAUUCCUGGUGUAAGCGCUGAAAUGCGCAGAUAUCAGGAGGAACACCGGUGGUCGAAGAGCGGUUCUCUGGGUAAGUACUGACGCCGAGGAGCAAAAACCGUGGGUAGAACAGGAUUAGAUACCCUGGUAAUUCC